UACGUAGGGUGCGAGCGUUGUCCGGAAUUAUUGGGCGUAAAGCGCACGUAGGCGGUUCGUUAUGUCAGAUGUGAAAGCCCUUGGCUCAACUGAGGAAGUGCAUCUGAAACUGGCGAGCUAGAGUAUGUAAGAGGGUCGCGGAAUUCCCGGUGUAGAGGUGAAAUUCGUAGAUAUCGGGAGGAACACCGAUGGCGAAGGCGGCGACCUGGGACAAUACUGACGCUGAGGUGCGAAAGCGUGGGGAGCAAACAGG
RNAcentral lists this ribosomal RNA (253 nucleotides) under uncultured bacterium. Its description in RNAcentral is "partial 16S ribosomal RNA". It matches the Rfam family "Bacterial small subunit ribosomal RNA", at positions 524 to 776 of the family's 1533-position model. The record is from RNAcentral.